UACGUAGGGUGCAAGCGUUGUCCGGAAUUAUUGGGCGUAAAGAGCUCGUAGGCGGUCUGUCGCGUCUGCUGUGAAAACUCGGGGCUUAACCCCGGGCCUGCAGUGGGUACGGGCAGACUAGAGUGCGGUAGGGGAGAGUGGAAUUCCCGGUGUAGCGGUGAAAUGCGCAGAUAUCGGGAAGAACACCCGUGGCGAAGGCGGCUCUCUGGAACGCAACUGACGCUGAGACGCGAAAGCGUGGGGAGCAAACAGG
This 253-nucleotide ribosomal RNA is filed under the name uncultured bacterium. RNAcentral's name for it is "partial 16S ribosomal RNA". It matches the Rfam family "Bacterial small subunit ribosomal RNA", at positions 524 to 776 of the family's 1533-position model. The record is from RNAcentral.